UGUGUGCAUCCAGCACCAUACUCGACCCCCUGGUCGAGUGACUUUGGAGCCAUUCUUCCCAUCUACUCGACCCCCAGGUCGAGUAACCCCAGCUCAGUCCACUCGAUGACGCCACUCGACCCCCUGGUCGAGUAUCACUUCGCCACACUACCUGACCACACUCGCCGUUCACUCUACCACGUUACUCGACCCCCUGAACGAGUAUCAUCACUCACCACCAACACCAUCACUCGACCGGACACUCGAUCACAUCUUCAUAGUCUACUCAAAUUUGUACUCAACCAAACAAGCUGAGCACAAGGAAAAGAAGAGGAGAAGACGAAGUAUUUGGAAGCGGCAUGGACCUCCAUCGGAUCACGAAACCCAUCUCGGCCCAUUAUCACUCUAUGGGCCGGGCGAUUAGGUUAUUGGCCCGUCUACUAUCAUUUAUUUCGUUUUGUAUAAAUAGAUGUCUUAGGGUUUUGUCGUGAGAC
RNAcentral lists this small RNA (473 nucleotides) under Arabidopsis thaliana (thale cress). RNAcentral's name for it is "ATSL269950". Lineage: Eukaryota; Viridiplantae; Streptophyta; Magnoliopsida; Brassicales; Brassicaceae. The record is from RNAcentral.